This is a long non-coding RNA of Mesoplodon densirostris (Blainville's beaked whale), 7243 nucleotides long. RefSeq lists it as uncharacterized. The transcript is spliced from 11 exons. NCBI's taxonomy places the organism in Eukaryota, Metazoa, Chordata, Mammalia, Artiodactyla, Ziphiidae. The record is from RefSeq and is a predicted model, not a curated record.
UUGACGUUGCGCCCGCGUGACGUUGCACCAGCCCGAGGCGCGCAGUACGCUCACCAGGGGAAGCCGUCCCUGGGUCCCGAGACUCCGGCGGUGACGGGCCGCACAGGCUCCCCGGAAGGGGGGCCGUGGACAGUGACCUGCGCUCGCACACAGGCCUCUUGGCGGCCUCAGCAGCAGUCACAGCGUCCCACGCCCGUCUCUGGGGUCCGCCGUUUCAGCCGCGCCUCGCGCCCGUCUCUGGAGCUCCUUUAAGCAGCGCUCUGAAUCCCCUCUCCUCGCGCACCAGGAGACAAAGAGGGAAGAAAAAGUCUCUUGCCUCUUCGGCAGCUCCAGACUUUUUCCCGGACUCCCUCCCGGCUAGCUGUGGCGCAUUAGUUCCUUCAGGCUGUGUUCACGCCGCCAGCCCCAGUCCUCUCCCUGCGCUCCGACUGAAACCCGAAACCCGAGCCUCAGCUCCCAGCCCCGCCCGCCCCGGCGGGUGAGCAGACAAGCCUCUCGGGCUGGUGAGUGCUGGUCGGCCCCGGUCCUCUGUGCGGGAAUCUCUCUGCUUUGCCCUCCGCUCCCCUGUAGCUGUGCUCUCCUCCGCGGCUCCGAAGCUUUCCCCCUCCGCCACCCGCAGUCUCCGCCCGCGAACGGGCUCCUAGUGCGUGGAAACCUUUCCUCCUUCACGGCUCCCUCCCACUGGUGCAGGUCCCGUCCGUAUCCUUUUGUCUCUGUUUAUUCUUUUUUCUCUUGUCCUACCUAGGUACGUGGGGGAGUUUCUUGCCUUUUGGGAGGUCUGAGGUCUUCUGUUCUGUAGGAGCUGUUGGUGUAAGUCUAUUUAAACGCGAGAGAUUUUAGCUCCCACCUUGGACUUCCAUUCACUUAAUGGAUUAAAUAUUUGGGGAUUUUUGAUUAAUGCUGGCCUCCAGGAAGGUGAUGCUUUUACAGAAAGAACACUUUAGUCGCAUCCGUUUAGCCCUUUCAGGAGUGUGGCAUUUUCUCUCUGCCGUCCGGCCGGGUCUGAUCACGCUCCCUCAUGGCUUCUCAGGGGGAAUGGAAGGUACGCCUGGUUCUUGCGAAGCUCCGAGUCCUCAGUGGAGGCCUGGCUUUUGCUUGACGUAGGUGUUGAGAUUGCGGACGUGUUGGACUUGUUGGAAUAGCCUGUAUACACCUUGGAAUAAUCCUUUCACCUGUGCCAUAGUGUUGUAACAGCCUUCAGUUUGAUAGGGAGUCACAGAUUCAGUGCCUUAGGGAGCUGGACAGGCAGCGGGUCCUGCCCUGGGCUCUGCCUGAGUGAGACCUCAGGACACGGCCAACGCGAGAGCACAUGCCCUGUGUGGAGGGGCCACUGCUGUUGCUUUUUCAAGAGGUUUUUUUGUUUUUGUUUUUGUCUUUUUAACUAUGAAGCCUUCCAGUGUUAAGAUAGCAACUAAUUCAGAUAUUUAAGAAAACAUUUUGAAGACCAAACAGAGUUUAUCUGUGAGUCAGAAUUCACCCAUGACUACCAGUUUGCAACUUCUGCGUUACAGCAGCAAAAGUUGGGAUCUGGAGCAAAAUAACUGCUCGAGUAGGAGUCGGAGAUGAUGGGGGCAGGGAUGGCUUAGUGUGUCUGUCCACGUGCCUGUCUCCCUCGCUCCCUUGGCCCGUGGGAGUUCCCCGUGGCUGGCACUCCCUUCUGCGCGGACUGCGGUGGGCUCCCAGGAAACCGUCCAAGGAGAACCUGUGUGACUCCGUGCCCAAAGGGACCUGCUUCUUUCUGUCAAAUUGGACCAGGAAGAAUUCGGUCUGGGUGUUGUUCUGUGACAAAAAGAGUGGUCCCUGUUCACCCGAAAUUCAUUCUCAGAAAACUGUACCCUGUGAAAGGUCUUUGGUGGGCAGGCCCACAGGAGAGGGGGAGGGCUUUCUAGGUGCGUGAAACUUGUUUUUGACAAAAGAAAAAGAUAACCAAAGUGAGAAAGGCCUAUGGCCUCACGUUUCUUAGCCUCUGACUGUUUCUGGAGCUGUCUCCUGGCUGUGGUCUGCUUGUUUCCAGAAUCCACCUCAUCUAAACGGGACGGGACCCUUGAAGGAAACGCCGAGCAGCUCCAUGUCAAGUCCUAACGGGAAUUCCAACGUCAGUAGGACUGGCCCCGUUAACGCCUCAACAGUUCUAACGGCAGUUCAGAACUGGUCAGUUAACAGGCCCUCAGUUAUUCCAGAACAUCCCAAGAAACAGAACAUCACGAUCAAUGUUCACAACAAGUUACCUGUGCGCCCAGUUCAGUCUCAGCCUGCGCGUCCCAGCAGUUCCCUGGAGAGCCCUAACAAGCCUGCCCUCUCGUCCACCAUCACCACUUCUUCUGCAACACAGUCCACCUCGAGUGCCGCCGUGAUGCCCGCGUCUGGUAAGGUAGCAAAGCAGAUCACCCUGAGGGCGUCCGGCCCUCAGCCUGUGAUGAACAGCAGGUCCAGGCUGAGCUCUGGCGUCCGAAGAGUCCGACGAGGAGGCGAAGGGCCUCGGCAAGGAGAACGGUCUCGGCCCCGCCGACGGCGCACGCGCCCCUGCUCCAGUGGCCCAAGAUGGCGGGGCCUCUCCGCACGAGCUCCGAGAGCCCGUGGCUCUAAACGGUGCUACCGGUACGGACGGCGACCCGGAAGAAAACGGCCUGCCCUCGGGUGCUGCUCCCGGCCAAGGCCAGCCUGCUCUGCACUCAGAAAACCCCUUUUCUAAGGCAAACGGUCUCCCUGGGAAGUUGAUGCCUGCUCCUUUGCCACCUCUCCCAGAAGGCAAAAUCUUAGACACCUUCAAACUCGGCAGCAAAGGGAAAGGCUCCAGAGAUGAGAUGAGUACCCCUGGGACACAGGAGAGGGCCUCCGCAGGACCCCGAGGCUGAGCUGGAGGCUGGCAGCUGCGCUCCCAGUUCCCUUGAGAACCUGGAGCUGAUCACGAGCUGAUCACGGCGGCCGGCCCCACAAGGACCACUACAGAGGCCGGAAGGGCUACGAGCCGGCGGCCUAAGAGAGGGACCGGCACCGCGUCAGCAGUCCCCGGGCGGGCCUGGCCCUCGCGCCCCCUCCGCACCCCGCUGACAAGUACACCCACGACAAGGCCGCACUGGGGGCUGAAGACAGAAGCUGUGACCUCGCCGGUCAGUUUCACGAACACAAAAACGUCAAGUCACGAAAACGGAGGUACGGUGGUGCAGGGGAUAAUGACAGCCAUGUAGAAAAGAAAGCCUGGAGAAGCUUACAAAAGGCUCCUUUAGAGGAGCCUAAAGUGAAGAGGCACAGAAAAUCAAAGAAGAAAAAGAAAUCCAAAGGCAAACACCGAGACCGGGAUUCCAGAACCCACCUCAUCUAAACGGGACGGGACCCUUGAAGGAAACGCCGAGCAGCUCCAUGUCAAGUCCUAACGGGAAUUCCAACGUCAGUAGGACUGGCCCCGUUAACGCCUCAACAGUUCUAACGGCAGUUCAGAACUGGUCAGUUAACAGGCCCUCAGUUAUUCCAGAACAUCCCAAGAAACAGAACAUCACGAUCAGUGUUCACAACAAGUUACCUGUGCGCCCAGUUCAGUCUCAGCCUGCGCGUCCCAGCAGUUCCCUGGAGAGCCCUAACAAGCCUGCCCUCUCGUCCACCAUCACCACUUCUUCUGCAACACAGUCCACCUCGAGUGCCGCCAUGAUGCCCGCGUCUGGUAAGGUAGCAAAGCAGAUCACCCUGAGGGCGUCCGGCCCUCAGCCUGUGAUGAACAGCAGGUCCAGGCUGAGCUCUGGCGUCCGAAGAGUCCGACGAGGAGGCGAAGGGCCUCGGCAAGGAGAACGGUCUCGGCCCCGCCGACGGCGCACGCGCCCCUGCUCCAGUGGCCCAAGAUGGCGGGGCCUCUCCGCACGAGCUCCGAGAGCCCGUGGCUCUAAACGGUGCUACCGGUACGGACGGCGACCCGGAAGAAAACGGCCUGCCCUCGGGUGCUGCUCCCGGCCAAGGCCAGCCUGCUCUGCACUCAGAAAACCCCUUUUCUAAGGCAAACGGUCUCCCUGGGAAGUUGAUGCCUGCUCCUUUGCCACCUCUCCCAGAAGGCAAAAUCUUAGACACCUUCAAACUCGGCAGCAAAGGGAAAGGCUCCAGAGAUGAGAUGAGUACCCCUGGGACACAGGAGAGGGCCUCCGCAGGACCCCGAGGCUGAGCUGGAGGCUGGCAGCUGCGCUCCCGGUUCCCUUGAGAACCUGGAGCUGAUCACGAGCUGAUCACGGCGGCCGGCCCCACAAGGACCACUACAGAGGCCGGAAGGGCUACGAGCUGGCGGCCUAAGAGAGGGACCGGCACCGCGUCAGCAGUCCCCGGGCGGGCCUGGCCCUCGAGCCCCCUCCGCACCCCGCUGACAAGUACACCAACGACAAGGCCGCACUGGGGGCUGAGGACAGAAGCUGUGACCUCGCCGGUCAGUUUCACAAACACAAAAACGUCAAGUCACGAAAACGGAGGUACGGUGGUGCAGGGGAUAAUGACAGCCAUGUAGAAAAGAAAGCCUGGAGAAGCUUACAAAAGGCUCCUUUACAGGAGCCUAAAGUGAAGAGGCACAGAAAAUCAAAGAAGAAAAAGAAAUCCAAAGGCAAACACCGAGACCGGGAUUCCAGAACCCACCUCAUCUAAACGGGACGGGACCCUUGAAGGAAACGCCGAGCAGCUCCAUGUCAAGUCCUAACUGGAAUUCCAACGUCAGUAGGACUGGCCCCGUUAACGCCUCAACAGUUCUAACGGCAGUUCAGAACUGGUCGGUUAACAGGCCCUCAGUUAUUCCAGAACAUCCGAAGAAACAGAACAUCACGAUCAGUGUUCACGACAAGUUACCUGUGCGCCCAGUUCAGUCUCAGCCUGCGCGUCCCAGCAGUUCCCUGGAGAGCCCUAACAAGCCUGCCCUCUCGUCCACCAUCACCACUUCUUCUGCAACACAGUCCACCUCGAGUGCCGCCGUGAUGCCCGCGUCUGGUAAGGUAGCAAAGCAGAUCACCCUGAGGGCGUCCGGCCCUCAGCCUGUGAUGAACAGCAGGUCCAGGCUGAGCUCCGGCGUCCGAAGAGUCCGAUGAGGAGGCGAAGGGCCUCGGCAAGGAGAACGGUCUCGGCCCCGCCGACGGCGCACGCGCCCCUGCUCCGGUGGACCAAGAUGGCGGGGCCUCUCAGCACGAGCUCCGAGAGCCCGUGGCUCUAAACGGUGCUACCGGUACGGACGGCGACCCGGAAGACAACGGCCUGCCCUCGGGUGCUGCUCCCGGCCAAGGCCAGCCUGCUCUGCACUCAGAAAACCCCUUUUCUAAGGCAAACGGUCUCCCUGGGAAGUUGAUGCCUGCUCCUUUGCCACCUCUCCCAGAAGACAAAAUCUUAGACACCUUCAAACUCGGCAGCAAAGGGAAAGGCUCCAGAGAUGAGAUGAGUACCCCUGGGACACAGGAGAGGCCUCCGCAGGACCCCGAGGCUGAGCUGGAGGCCGGCAUCUGCGCUCCCGGUUCCCUUGAGAACCUGGAGCUGAUCACGAGCUGAUCACGGCGGCCGGCCCCACAAGGACCACUACAGAGGCCGGAAGGGCUACGAGCCGGCGGCCUAAGAGAGGGACCGGCACCGCGUCAGCAGUCCCCGGGCGGGCCUGGCCCUCGCGCCCCCUCCGCACCCCGCUGACAAGUACACCCACGACAAGGCCGCACUGGGGGCUGAAGACAGAAGCUGUGACCUCGCCGGUCAGUUUCACGAACACAAAAACGUCAAGUCACGAAAACGGAGGUACGGUGGUGCAGGGGAUAAUGACAGCCAUGUAGAAAAGAAAGCCUGGAGAAGCUUACAAAAGGCUCCUUUAUAGGAGCCUAAAGUGAAGAGGCACAGAAAAUCAAAGAAGAAAAAGAAAUCCAAAGGCAAACACCGAGACCGGGAUUCCAGGCAUCAGCAGGACUCAGACCUUUCGGUAACGCAGUCUGAUGGUGACCUCCACAGACACAAGAAGAAAAAGAAGAGGCACUCAAGGAAAUCAGAGGACUCGGUUAGAGAUUCAGAGCCACACUUGCCCAAGGCCGCCAGCUGUGAGACUGUGGACCAUUUCCAGAGAGCGGUCAGAGCUUUCCCCCUCCCAGCCAGCCAGCCUCUGGACGGUGUGGGACCUUGCCGGGAGAAAACAAAACAUUUCUGGAUGGAAGCCAGGGCUGACAAGUGUCAUCUGAGUGUGGCCAGGGUAAGAGGACAUACUUGGAACUGCGAAUAUAGAAACUCUUUUCUUUGGAAAGGGUGGUUAACACAGGGAAGGAGGCUCAAAGGGCGUAGAAGGUGUUAGUCCCCUCUGAGCUCCCCGCCCUGUGUCCUCUGCCCGACGGCUGGCCCGAGGCUGUUGUGGCCGGUCUCGAUGGUUUGCUGCCGCGGCCCUUACUGGAGACCUGAGUCACGCGGAACCGGGAACCUCUGGAAUUGAUGGCUCUGAGUGUGUGACUGUGGACCAGAACUUCUGUUUUUGAGCCAUUUUUGAUAGAAAUGUGGUACAUUCUUUCUCUCCAGAAUCCUUAAGCCUUUGGCAUUGUGAGUAGAACCUAGAACUCAGUUUGGUGACUGGCUCGCUGGACGUCACGCUUCAGGCCUGGGUUGGUGAAGCUCAGGCUCCUGACGGGGUUCCCUGGGUCACUGCAGGCCUCUGGGCUCUGGGAUUCUUGUCUGCUUUGCACAGUUCUGCCUUCCCUUGUAACUUCCCAGCCUUUUCUACUCAGAUUGCUCUGAAAGCAGAGCCCCCCUUGCUUCCUCAUCUGUUCCGAUGACCUUCGACCCUGGAAGGAGUGCUGAGCGUUUUUGAGGGGGCCGGGGGCCUAGGACAGGGCUGGACUGGCCGCCGCCUUUGCGCGGCCUGACGGUAAGGAAGGAUUUGACGUUUUUCAACGGUUGGAAGAGUCAAGAGGAGAAUAUUUCAUUUCACGUGAAAAUCGUGUGGAAUUGAGGUGGCAGUAGAGCCGCAAGGAACCCAGCCCAGCCCGCCCGUCUGCCCGUCCACGGGGACAGGUGUGCUGGCCUCGCCCUGGACCCCUGAGGCGCACCCUCGCGACCCUGCCCGCUGUCCUAGAUGCCCAGGGGCCACGGGGUUCUCGACUGCAUCCUGGACCCAGGUGAUUGAAAACGUGGCCUCAGAACAAAAAAUUCACUAGUUACGGUAAGCUCUUUUCGUCUCGGUAUGUUCUUCCUAUUUGUUUGUAGAGCCGCUGAGGGGCCCUGAGGAGGGAGCUUUGGGCCUCGGCUUCGGCUUCGGGGGUAGCAGGUG